UUAAAAGCCUACAGUGUGCCAGAAGGGAGGCAGACAGAAAGGGAAGGGGGUCGAAUAAGGACAAGACUGAGACCCAGACAAGAAGGAGGGAGUCCGAGGAACAUAUUCCCAGAUCAUUCCAGAGAAGAAGCCCACAUGGUCAUGACAGAGUGUUUUACGAUCCAACUUUCAUCAACAAAGGUUCUGGAACUAGUUAGCAUUAUGAUUUAUAAUUAAGAAGGUAGAAGAAAGCAACCAGAUGAUAGCUGCAUACUUGAUUGUCAAGCUCUGAUUUUGGGUCAACCUAAUCUAAAAAAGUGUCCUUCCACCCUUAAUAAAACUUAAGUAUUUGGGAGGAGCCAAGAUGGCA
Molecule: long non-coding RNA, 349 nt
Organism: Leopardus geoffroyi (Geoffroy's cat)
Lineage: Eukaryota; Metazoa; Chordata; Mammalia; Carnivora; Felidae
Exons: 2
Source: RefSeq, a predicted model, not a curated record